This is a long non-coding RNA of Oncorhynchus tshawytscha (Chinook salmon), 1999 nucleotides long. The record is from Ensembl. Lineage: Eukaryota; Metazoa; Chordata; Actinopteri; Salmoniformes; Salmonidae.
UUUUUCUUUGCUAAUAAGCUGCUCCACGUACAAGCUCUUUACUAUAUACUUCUGUCAUUUUUAUAAUUUUGAAUUCAUGUGGUGGCGGACACUGGUGGGCCUGGUCAAGGAGAUACAGAAGGUGGAGAGACGGGUCAUGAACUCUGAGCAACAGCUGACCCACACCCAGCUGGACGUCCUGGCCCAAAGGGCAAACUAUGAGCUCUGCAUGGAUCAGUCCCACAUUGGUCUUCUGCAGGAGACCAAGAACCCGAGAAGAAACUACUCCUCUUUGUGAGUUAUCCCUCGACAGUAGUGAAGGAGACAAAUGAGUCUGCUAAAACAUACCUCCUCUGGAACUAACAGUGACUGUUCUAUGAGAGCAAACCUCACACCUCAAUAUCGCCUCCUUGUGGUUGUGGGUAUGAAAGACCAUUGAGAUUUUCUUUUGUCUUGAAAAAAGUUGACUUGACUACAUCAACAUAACACACUUAAAUGCUCAAUAGCUAUCUGUAACCUGACAUACAGGAAAACUCUGGAGGCCAUGCAUAUGAGGCUAAGAGCCAGGCAUCGACAGGAGGUUUGUCUGUGUCUCCUGCCCGUGUGGAACCACCAUGGUCACUUCCUUCACAGGAACGCCUGGCUCUGCUUUCUCCUCCCAGAGCAUAUAUUAAGUAUUUUUAUUUCAUAAGUAUUUUUUUCUUGUAUGUGUGAUUUAAAAUGUCAUGUUAAGUAAUUGGUUGCAGUCAACCUGCUUGCACAGGGGCCCCUACAAGGACUAAUAACAACUUGGAAGGGGAUUUAUAUUAAGGACAAUAGAUUGGCUGUUGUUUUGCAGUGACCCUGACACCUACUGGCCUUAAACCGGGUCAGAUGUAUUGUAGCAACGUGCCAUGGUAACGCAUAGAGUCCAUGGCGACAUGGGUCGCGCUCUCUUGGAAAGUGUGAAGGAACCCGACUGCUUGAGAGGGUCCUUAUGUGUCAAUAUCCCGCAAUAUUCUCAAACUGUAGAAUCUCAGCCGAAAGCCUUAUUAUUAGAAGUAGAUAUGGGAUGCGGCAGCUCGAGAAUCGUGGUAGGCUACCUCCAUUGAGUCGCAGGCUAUCCUUUCAUCCACUGUCACGAUUCUUCUAAAAUCAACCAAACUAUUCGGCUACCAUUGAACAAUGCAGAUUACACGCCUUUUAAUGCUUGAUCUAAUAUAGUAAUAGGCAACAUUUUAUACUGAAAAAAUAUAAAUGCAACAUGUAAAGUGUUGGUUUCAUGAGCUGAAAUAAAAGAUCCCAGAAAUGUUCCAUAUGCCAAAAAGCUUAUUCCUCUCAAAUUUUGUGCACAAAUUUGCUUACAUCCUUGUUAGUGAGCAUUUGUCCUUUGCCAAGAUAAUCCAUCCACCUGACAGGUGUGACAGAUCAAGAAGCAGGUGUACCUUGUGCUGGGGACAAUAAAAGGCCACUCUAAAAUGUGCAGUUUUGUUACACAACACAAUGCCACAGAUGUCUCAAUUUUUGAGGGAGUGUUCAAUUGGCAUGCUGACUGCAGUAAUGUCUACCGAAGCUUUUGCCAGAUCAUUUAAUGUUAAUUUCUCUACCAUAAUCUGCCUCCAACUUUGUUUUAAAGAAUUUGGCAGUACGUCCAACUGGCCUCACAACCCGCAGACCACGUGUAACCAUGUCAGCCCAGGACCUCCACAUUUGGCUUCUUCACCUGCAGGAUUGUCUGAGACCAGCCACCCAGACAGCUGAUGAAACUUAGGAGUAUUUCUGUUUUUGUGGGGCCCUUUUGUGGGGAAAAACUUAUUCGGAUUGGCUGGGCCUGGCUCUCCAGUGGGUUGGCCUAUUCCCUCCCUGGCACACCCAUGGCUGCGCCACUGACCAGUCAUGUGAAGUCCAUAGAUUAGGGCCUAUUUCAAUUGACUGAUUUCCUUAUAUCAACUGUAACUCAGUUAAAUCGUUAAUUGUUGCAUGUUGUGUUACUAUUUUUGUUCAGUGUAUAUUUUUAAGCACAUUUAGGACAUUGCCACUG